AUUGAACGCUGGCGGCAGGCCUAACACAUGCAAGUCGAACGGUAACAGGAAGCAGCUUGCUGCUUUGCUGACGAGUGGCGGACGGGUGAGUAAUGUCUGGGAAACUGCCUGAUGGAGGGGGAUAACUACUGGAAACGGUAGCUAAUACCGCAUAACGUCGCCAGACCAAAGAGGGGGACCUUAUGGCCUCUUGCCAUCGGAUGUGCCCAGAUGGGAUUAGCUAGUAGGUGGGGUAACGGCUCACCUAGGCGACGAUCCCUAGCUGGUCUGAGAGGAUGACCAGCCACACUGGAACUGAGACACGGUCCAGACUCCUAAGGGAGGCAGCAGUGGGGAAUAUUGCACAAUGGGCGCAAGCCUGAUGCAGCCAUGCCGCGUGUAUGAAGAAGGCCUUCGGGUUGUAAAGUACUUUCAGCGGGGAGGAAGGGAGUAAAGUUAAGACCUUUGCUCAUUGACGUUACCCGCAGAAGAAGCACCGGCUAACUCCGUG
Molecule: ribosomal RNA, 490 nt
Filed under: uncultured bacterium
Lineage: Bacteria
Description: partial 16S ribosomal RNA
Rfam family: Bacterial small subunit ribosomal RNA
Source: RNAcentral